AGUCAAUAAGUUUAUAAAACUUAUACCUUGAAAGUAUAGAAUGAGAAUUAAACUUUCUCAUUGACUU
RNAcentral lists this transfer RNA (67 nucleotides) under Brachyplatys subaeneus. RNAcentral's name for it is "tRNA-Ser". Lineage: Eukaryota; Metazoa; Arthropoda; Insecta; Hemiptera; Plataspidae. The record is from RNAcentral.